This 1120-nucleotide long non-coding RNA is filed under the name Bos indicus x Bos taurus (hybrid cattle). RNAcentral's name for it is "lncRNA (ENSBIXG00005001474.1)". The record is from RNAcentral. Lineage: Eukaryota; Metazoa; Chordata; Mammalia; Artiodactyla; Bovidae.
CGCCUCCGCGCAUGCGCCCUAACUCUAAACGCGAAGGGAAGUCACUCACGGAUGCCGGACCCUCAUGGAGCCAUCUGAUGCUGAAGGCCCUUCCCGGGCCCCUGAAUCUUCAUUGACUCUCAGAACAGACCUGUGCAGACGUCCAUCCUGGAGAAGAGAAAUAACGCACCUGUGGUCACCGCGUGAACAGCAGCUCAGCCCCCCGGGCCUCCGAAGACCCCAUCUGCCAGGUCACCAGCACUGCUCAGAGCAAAACAGGGCAGAUGAGUAACAGCAAAGCUGGAGACAGUGAGAGGCAGACUGAGAAAAGACAAAGCAAAGCAAGAGGAGAUGGACAUGUCAGCCACGAUUGAUUCUGGGAGCAACGGGACUAAAGUCGUUUUCUUUUCUCUUAAACUCUUUCUGAAUCUUCCAGAUUUUCUGUUUUACAAACCUUUGCUUGAAAGCAUUACCAUAGAAAACUCUUUGAAGGAAAAAAAUAAUCAGUAGCAUUUUAUGAAUGUACCUCCAUCCAAUCCCUCCUUUUCUGUUUUUUCAGGUUUGAAAGUUUUUCUAUUGUUUGAGUUUAUAAGUGACAAAUUUUGGUAACCAACUUUUCUAGAAAAAAAAAAUGAGAGUUUAAAGAUGCAUUCAGUUUCCACUCUGGAACUAUUUAGUUUAAGGAUUUCAUGUAGUGUAGUGUUAGCUGCUCGGUGGUGUCCAACUCUGCAACUCCAUGGACUGUAGCCCAUCGGGUUCCUCUGUCCAUAGAAUCCUCUAGGAAAGAAUAUCAGAGUGGGUAGACAUCCCCUUCUCCAGGGGAUGGUCCUGACCCAGAGAUCAAACCCUGGUCUCUAGCAUUGCAGGCAGAUUCUUUACCAUCUGAGCCACAAGAGAAGCCCACUUUAAAGGACAAUUGCCUGAUAACUUCUAUAAACAUCAGAGUGCAUUGUUUGGAAAUAUUUUUUUAUGGAUAGUUUUUAUUUCACUUACACAAUUGUAAAGUUUUAUCUCUUCAGGGACUAAACUGCAUUUAGGGAGCUGAGUUUGCCCUGAGACACCAUUUCAGGGCAACCCUCUCAUUUGUCUAUUCUUAGCUUCAUUGAAGGUUUUAAAAAUAAAAUUUUAAACUGCAGCUUCA